GGGGCGGAAGGGCCGCUGGUGGGCCCCCCGGUCUUCAAAACCGACGGGGACGGUGCUCCCGUCCUGGUGUGUUCGAUUCGCACCCGCCCCCGCCA
Molecule: transfer RNA, 95 nt
Filed under: Flavonifractor sp. An10
Lineage: Bacteria; Bacillati; Bacillota; Clostridia; Eubacteriales; Oscillospiraceae
Description: tRNA-Sec
Rfam family: Selenocysteine transfer RNA
Source: RNAcentral